CACUGCAGGUUAUGUGGACAUCAGCUGACCUUUUAUUUUGAAGAGAGAACGGCACUGUCCUACAUGCUACCCAAUACUUGUUAAACAACCUUAAAAGGCCCUCAAGAGCUUUGAGCUGGACUGCUUUCAGAUUUCUUUGCAUUAUUCUGUCUGAUACAAAGGUUUUCGACAUGGCUCCAUUCCAAUCUCCUGUACGUGUCUGACAAACUGGCUGGAAGAUCUACAUUUGGCAAUAGAGGUCACAAAACAUAAAAAAUUAGUGAGAGGUUUCCUUCAGGAAAGAGAAUUUGGAUGUUGAGGUAGUGUUUGGCUGGGACUGCUGCAUCCUGGCCAGGCUUUCAGAUCCAGCCAGAGCAGCCUGUAUUUAGAAGAUGAAAGGAAGAAUCCUUCUGCCAAUACAGAUCUGGCACUUACCAUUUGUCCUUUUUUACAAGCAAGAGAGACUUUCACAAGUCUAGUAGUAAGACUCCAUUAAAAUAACUGAAACUCCUUGCUGAGUGAGUGUACCAAAUUUUUGAACGCAAGGAAUUAAUCUUGACCUAAUUAAUUUAUUCAUUUUA
Corvus hawaiiensis (hawaiian crow) is the source of this 560-nucleotide long non-coding RNA. RefSeq lists it as uncharacterized. NCBI's taxonomy places the organism in Eukaryota, Metazoa, Chordata, Aves, Passeriformes, Corvidae. The transcript is spliced from 3 exons. The record is from RefSeq and is a predicted model, not a curated record.